Molecule: ribosomal RNA, 418 nt
Filed under: uncultured prokaryote
Description: bacterial SSU rRNA
Rfam family: Archaeal small subunit ribosomal RNA
Source: RNAcentral
GUGUCAGCAGCCGCGGUAAUACCAGCUCUCCGAGUGGUAGGGACGAUUAUUGGGCUUAAAGCGUCCGUAGCCGGCUUAGCAAGUCUCCUGUUAAAUUCAGCGACCUAAUCGUUGAGCCGCGGGAGAUACUACUAGGCUAGGAGGCGGGAGAGGUCGACGGUACUUCCGGGGUAGGGGUGAAAUCCUAUAAUCCCGGGAGGACCACCAGUGGCGAAGGCUGUCGACUAGAACACGUCUGACGGUCAGGGACGAAAGCUGGGGUAGCGAACCGGAUUAGAUACCCGGGUAGUCCCAGCCGUAAACGAUGCAUGCUAGGUGUUGGGUUGGCCACGAGCCACCCCAGUGCCGCAGGGAAGCCAUUAAGCCCGCCGCCUGGGGAGUACGGCCGCAAGGGUGAAACUUAAAUGAAUUGACGGGG